AAGAUACUAGUAAAACACCAUUACAUUGUUUUGUCAAAGCAAAAUCAUGGGUUAAAACCCCAUGUAUCUUA
This 71-nucleotide transfer RNA is filed under the name Zenarchopterus dispar (feathered river-garfish). RNAcentral describes it as "tRNA-Asp". It matches the Rfam family "tRNA". Rfam says of the family: Transfer RNA (tRNA) molecules are approximately 80 nucleotides in length. Their secondary structure includes four short double-helical elements and three loops (D, anti-codon, and T loops). Further hydrogen bonds mediate the characteristic L-shaped molecular structure. tRNAs have two regions of fundamental functional importance: the anti-codon, which is responsible for specific mRNA codon recognition, and the 3' end, to which the tRNAs corresponding amino acid is attached (by aminoacyl-tRNA synthetases). tRNAs cope with the degeneracy of the genetic code in two manners: having more than one tRNA (with a specific anti-codon) for a particular amino acid; and 'wobble' base-pairing, i.e. permitting non-standard base-pairing at the 3rd anti-codon position. The record is from RNAcentral. Lineage: Eukaryota; Metazoa; Chordata; Actinopteri; Beloniformes; Zenarchopteridae.